AAGACCUUGCACUUUUGGAGCGGCCGAUGUCUGAUUAGCUAGUUGGUGGGGUAAUGGCCUACCAAAGCUUCGAUCAGUAGCUGGUCUGAGAGGACGGCCAGCCACACUGGGACUGAGACACGGCCCAGACUCCUACGGGAGGCAGCAGUGGGGAAUUUUGGACAAUGGGCGCAAGCCUGAUCCAGCCAUGCCGCGUGAGUGAAGAAGGCCUUCGGGUUGUAAAGCUCUUUCAGCCGGGAAGAAAAGGUUGCGAUUAAUAAUCGCAAUUKAUGACGGUACCGGAAGAAGAAGCACCGGCUAACUACGUGCCAGCAGCCGCGGUAAUACGUAGGGUGCGAGCGUUAAUCGGAAUUACUGGGCGUAAAGGGUGCGCAGGCGGUUUUGUAAGUCAGAUGUGAAAUCCCCGGGCUUAACCUGGGAACU
RNAcentral lists this ribosomal RNA (423 nucleotides) under uncultured bacterium. Its description in RNAcentral is "bacterial SSU rRNA". It matches the Rfam family "Bacterial small subunit ribosomal RNA", at positions 207 to 622 of the family's 1533-position model. The record is from RNAcentral.